UACGUAGGGGGCAAGCGUUGUCCGGAUUUACUGGGCGUAAAGGGCGUGCAGGCGGUUUGUUAAGUGCCGGGUGAAAGCUCCCGGCUCAACUGGGAGAGGUCCUUGCAUACUGGCAAACUCGAGGGAGGCAGAGGAAAGUGGAAUUCCCGGUGUAGAGGUGAAAUUCGUAGAUAUCGGGAGGAACACCAGUGGCGAAGGCGGCGACCUGGGCCAAUAUUGACGCUGAGGUGCGAAAGCGUGGGGAGCAAACAGG
This 253-nucleotide ribosomal RNA is filed under the name uncultured bacterium. RNAcentral describes it as "partial 16S ribosomal RNA". It matches the Rfam family "Bacterial small subunit ribosomal RNA", at positions 524 to 776 of the family's 1533-position model. The record is from RNAcentral.